CGCCCCUUGCAAAAAGAUUGAUGAAUAAGGGGUCCUGCCUGCCCAGUGACGUAGUUAAACGGCCGCGGUAUUUUGACCGUGCAAAGGUAGCAUAAUCAUUUGCCUCUUAAAUAGAGGCUGGUAUGAAUGGCAAGACUGGGGUUAAGCUGUCUCUUUCUUAUUACUUGAAUUUUAUAUUUUUGUGAAGAAGCGGAAAUAAAUUCGUAGGACGAGAAGACCCUAUCGAGCUUUAAUAAAUCUAUUAGUGGCGAGUUAAUAUAAAUUAUCUAAUAAAAAAAUUUGAUAGUUUUAAAAAUUUAAUAAUAAAUAUUUUGUCAUUUAAUAAAAUAGUUUUGAUUGGGGCAAUCGCGGAGUAUAAAAAGCCUCCGCUGUAAAUGUUAAAAAUUACUGUUUUUAAAUAAAAUGAUCCGCUGUAAAGCGAACAAAGGAAUAAGUUACCGUAGGGAUAACAGCGUAAUUUUUUUGGAGAGUUCAUAUUGAUAAAAAAGUUUGCGACCUCGAUGUUGGAUCAAGAUUUCCUAGAGAUGCAGAAGUUUCUGAGGGUUGGUCUGUUCGACCAUUAAAAUCUU
Molecule: ribosomal RNA, 569 nt
Filed under: Taranuiaster novaezealandiae
Lineage: Eukaryota; Metazoa; Echinodermata; Asteroidea; Forcipulatida; Asteriidae
Description: partial 16S ribosomal RNA
Rfam family: Bacterial large subunit ribosomal RNA
Source: RNAcentral